RNAcentral lists this ribosomal RNA (253 nucleotides) under uncultured bacterium. RNAcentral describes it as "partial 16S ribosomal RNA". It matches the Rfam family "Bacterial small subunit ribosomal RNA", at positions 524 to 776 of the family's 1533-position model. The record is from RNAcentral.
UACGGAGGGUGCAAGCGUUAAUCGGAAUUACUGGGCGUAAAGGGCGCGUAGGCGGCCUUCUAAGUCGAACGUGAAAUCCCCGGGUUCAACCCGGGAACUGCGUCCGAGACUGGAAGGCUUGAAUCCGGGAGAGGGAUGUGGAAUUCCAGGUGUAGCGGUGAAAUGCGUAGAUAUCUGGAGGAACAUCGGUGGCGAAGGCGGCAUCCUGGACCGGUAUUGACGCUGGGGCGCGAAAGCCAGGGGAGCAAACGGG